AGGCGUAUCAUGUGAAGAGGUGGUUAUGGCAUCCUUAUCCAAAACACCUCAUGCGGCACUCUCCUUUUUCACACCAUCAUAAGUCCAUCUUCACGCCAUCUGAUGUUGACCAAGUCAACAUCAAAUGCUGAUCCAUCACGCCAUGAAUCUUGAUCAUCCAUCAUCUCAUGAUGAAGAUCCAAGGGCUAGAAUGCAAGGCGCCAUGAGUAAGGGGAGUUAUGUCAUCAUCCAACGAUUCUAGGAUGAUCCAAUGGUCCCAAUGCAAGGCGCCUCAUCAUAAUCAUAUUAUGUCUUCAUCC
Molecule: long non-coding RNA, 299 nt
Filed under: Phoenix dactylifera (date palm)
Lineage: Eukaryota; Viridiplantae; Streptophyta; Magnoliopsida; Arecales; Arecaceae
Description: long non-coding RNA (PDAC_LNC012287)
Source: RNAcentral